This 1087-nucleotide long non-coding RNA is filed under the name Marmota monax (woodchuck). Lineage: Eukaryota; Metazoa; Chordata; Mammalia; Rodentia; Sciuridae. The record is from RNAcentral.
AUUUUAAGAAUGCAGUGCUAACUGGAAGAAAUUGAAAGUAGGAAUAGUAUUAUUUAUAAUAUUUUGUAUUGUUUUUGAUAAGCAUGUAUAUUUUUUUCAAAAAAAACCAUCUAGCCCUGAUAAGAUAUAGCACCUUUUGAUAUCCUAUGCCUAACCAUGUUUCAGUGAAAUACAUUUCAGAAUGUUUUUUAAGACAUUUUUUUAACUGAUGUUACUGAUUUGGAAAUUAAGUUGUGCUCUUGUCCCCAAAGCUUUUUAAUGUUUAGUAUGGUGAUGAAGUACAUUUUUUAUUAUAUAUGAGGAAUCCUUGGAGUAUUGUUAUCUUUGUCCUAAAGCAUCAUUACCCUUUGAAGUAAUGUUUCAAAGAUGAAAGGAUUUUUAUUCAACUGGGUUGGGGGAAUUUUAUGCUAUUGUAAAGUUUGUUAACUCUUUAAACCACAUAGGCAAUUAUUAGAAACCUGAAAGGAGUAAUUUUACAAAUAACGUAGUGCCCUGAAACAGUGCAUUUACCUCCAUACUGGGGACUAUUUUCCUGCUGUAGUUCAUGUUUCAGGCAAAGUUACCUAGGUCAGGGAAAAUUUUCUUUAUUAUUGUAGGAGAAAAGAAGGUUUGUGUUCAUCAGAAAGUGAACCCAUAAAAGGGCUGCAACAGAUCCAGCUGUAGCUGAGGUAGGAGAAGCUAUUAGAUGACUUUAAAGAAAUCUGUAGGCAAGGAGAUAGACAUCUUUACCCUUGGUACAUGUAUGACUGCACAUAUAAUGUGACACUACAUCAUGUACAACCAGAGAAAUGAAAAGUUGUGCUGAAAUUAUGUACAAUGAAUCAAAAUUCAUUCUGCUGUCAUAUAGCUAUCUGAAAAAAGAAUGAAAUGUGUAGCUGCAUAUUUAAGGGGAACACCCAAGCCUGAUCCAUUCUCCUUUGAGGGCUGGAGAGCCAUCUUCUAGUGAUAGCGUAGACAGAUAUACACAAAUUUUUCUGCUCCAAGUUCUUCUGCCAAUGGUUGACUUUGAAAUGUAGCUUGUGGCAGCAAUUUUAGAGCUGGCUUUCUCUCCCUCCACUCUGUUGACAAAAAUGAGUUGGAAGACUGG